Molecule: ribosomal RNA, 251 nt
Filed under: uncultured Solibacteraceae bacterium
Lineage: Bacteria; Pseudomonadati; Acidobacteriota; Terriglobia; Bryobacterales; Solibacteraceae
Description: partial 16S ribosomal RNA
Rfam family: Bacterial small subunit ribosomal RNA
Source: RNAcentral
UACGUAGGCAGCAAGCGUUGUUCGGAAUUACUGGGCGUAAAGGGUGCGUAGGCGGUGCUCUAAGUUUGGUGUGAAAUCUCCCGGCUCAACUGGGAGGGUGCGCCGGAAACUGGAGUGCUGGAGUGUGGGAGAGGAAAGCGGAAUUCCUGGUGUAGCGGUGAAAUGCGUAGAGAUCAGGAGGAACACCUGCGGUGUAGACGGCUUUCUGGACCAUAACUGACGCUGAGGCACGAAAGCGUGGGUAGCAAACA